UCUACGGGCGGCAGCAGUGGGGGAUAUUGCACAAUGGGGGAAACCCUGAUGCAGCGACGCCGCGUGUGGGAAGACGGUCCUCUGGAUUGUAAACCACUGUCCCCAGGGACGAAGAUGACGGUACCUGGGGAGGAAGCUCCGGCUAACUACGUGCCAGCAGCCGCGGUAAUACGUAGGGAGCGAGCGUUGUCCGGAAUUACUGGGUGUAAAGGGAGCGUAGGCGGGGAUGCAAGUUGGGUGUAAAAACUACCGGCUCAACUGGUAGGCGCACUCAAAACUGGAGCUCUUGAGUUCAGUAGAGGUAGGCGGAAUUCCUGGUGUAGCGGUGAAAUGCGUAGAUAUUAGGAGGAACACCAGUGGCGAAGGCGGCCUGCUGGGCUUUUACUGACGCUGAGGCUCGAAAGUGUGGGGAGCAAACAGGAUUAGAUACCCCUGUAGUC
RNAcentral lists this ribosomal RNA (440 nucleotides) under uncultured bacterium. RNAcentral's name for it is "partial 16S ribosomal RNA". It matches the Rfam family "Bacterial small subunit ribosomal RNA", at positions 338 to 795 of the family's 1533-position model. The record is from RNAcentral.